This 253-nucleotide ribosomal RNA is filed under the name uncultured bacterium. RNAcentral's name for it is "partial 16S ribosomal RNA". It matches the Rfam family "Bacterial small subunit ribosomal RNA", at positions 524 to 776 of the family's 1533-position model. The record is from RNAcentral.
UACAGAGGGCGCAAGCGUUAAUCGGAAUUACUGGGCGUAAAGCGCACGUAGGCGGCUUGGUAUGUCGGGUGUGAAAGCCCCGGGCUCAACCUGGGAACUGCAUCCGAAACUGCCUUGCUGGAGUAUGGGAGAGGGAAGCGGAAUUUCCGGUGUAGCGGUGAAAUGCGUAGAUAUCGGAAGGAACAUCAGUGGCGAAGGCGGCCUCCUGGACCAAUACUGACGCUCAGGUGCGAAAGCGUGGGGAGCAAACAGG